RNAcentral lists this ribosomal RNA (633 nucleotides) under Paraisaria tettigonia. Its description in RNAcentral is "SSU rRNA". It matches the Rfam family "Eukaryotic small subunit ribosomal RNA", at positions 88 to 725 of the family's 1831-position model. The record is from RNAcentral. Lineage: Eukaryota; Fungi; Ascomycota; Sordariomycetes; Hypocreales; Ophiocordycipitaceae.
UGCGAAUGGCUCAUUAUAUAAGUUAUCGUUCAUUUGAUAGCACCUUACUACUUGGAUAACCGUGGUAAUUCUAGAGCUAAUACAUGCUAAAAACCCCGACGUGAGGAGGGGUGUAUUUAUUAGAUUAAAAGCCAAUGCCCUACGGGCUCUCUGGUGAUUCAUGAUAACUUCGCGGAUCGCACGGCCUUGCGCCGGCGAUGGUUCAUACAAAUUUCUUCCCUAUCAACUUUCGAUGUUUGGGUCGUGGCCAAACAUGGUUGCAACGGGUAACGGAGGGUUAGGGCUCGACCCCGGAGAAGGAGCCUGAGAGACGGCUACUACAUCCAAGGAAGGCAGCAGGCGCGCAAAUUACCCAAUCCCGACACGGGGAGGUAGUGACAAUAAAUACUGAUACAGGGCUCUUUUGGGUCUUGUAAUUGGAAUGAGUACAUCCUAAAUCCCUUAACGAGGAACAAUUGGAGGGCAAGUCUGGUGCCAGCAGCCGCGGUAAUUCCAGCUCCAAUAGCGUAUAUUAAAGUUGUUGUGGUUAAAAAGCUCGUAGUUGAACCUUGGGCCUGGCUGGCCGGUCCGCCUCACCGCGUGCACUGGUCCGGCCGGGUCUUUCCCUCUGCGGAACCCCAUGCCCUUCGCUGG